CUUGCUGGAGAUCUCUGUGUACUUGAGGCCUUCUGAAGAUUAGAAGAUACAGCAUGAUAAAAUGGUCAUUUUUGCUGCCUAUGACUGACUACUUCAGUUACUUUGGAACACGCGGAGACAGGGAAACUGGAUAAGACUGCAUUGAAGACUACUGGCUGGCAUAUAGAUGUUCAUUAUUACAGUAUCUACGACCUUGUGCUGAAUCAAGUCGACCUUUCAUUCCGAAGUAUAAAAAAUUUUGAAAUUCAAAGAAACAAAAAAUCCUACACCUCUGAUGUACUUAGUCUUUUUUUUUUUUCUUUUGCUGAAAGCACUACAAAACUCAUUCUUUUCUAUGCUCUUUCCAAGAAAAUACAUGACAAGAGAACGUUAUGCAGCUGAGAGUCAGCAGAAAAGACUGGGGACAAGUGAUCUCCUUUGCCUCAUACUGCAAGACUUUUGCAUUUUAAGUUUGUAGAAAAUUGUGUCUAGAUCUAGCUGUAGAAUUCUACCGGGUUUAAUAAAUCGGUCAUUAUCACAGGAAAAAAAGCAGCCUUUUAAACCCUGCAGGAUUAAACUUCACAUCUCUUCCAAACACCCUGUCCUAACUACCAUGUCAGGAACAGCUUAACAAUAUGGGGGAACAAGGCUAUAUAGCAUAUUAGCUGAUACGCAUAUGAACAAGAAAGUACUAACAGCCAGGUCUGCAUUUUUUCUCCAGAAACAGGUGCAGCCCUCAUGAUGUCAGCUUUUUGAGCUUACACAUUCACUCUCUGAUGCAUCAUAUAUACAGAUAAGCUAAUCAUUCACUUGCAUCCACAUUCUCCAAAUGGCAAUUUCUGCAAAUCAUUCAUGGCAAGGAUGUAUUCUUUCUCUGGUUUUUCUUCCUCAAAAAACUACAUUCUCUAUGCUUUAAUUAGGGAAAUAAAGCUUUCUCUGAAUAUAUAUUUACAUAUGUAUCUUUAUAUGUGUAUUCUUUAGAUCUAUUUUUAUUUAGUCAUCAGUUGAAAAGCUUGUGAAAGUACGAACGAUUUCCCCCAGCUUACAUUAUAACCACCUUAUCAAUAGAGACUUUUGGAGUUUUGAGAGAAGCAAUCCUUGUGUACAUAAUGAAGCUGUUGGCAGGUGAGAAGAAAAAUGAAGAGCCUUUUCUUCUGCACAAAGGGACAGCUAAGCUGCUAUCCUGACUCUUCACUUUAGCCACCCCGUCUCUUAAAGGUUACAGGUGCUGGAUGUGCCUUGCUCAUUUUUCAUCAUAGGUCCAGAGACAAAAAGGAGCCUCCAAAAGAGCUGUUUUGUGUUCACAUAGUGCUGCUGAAUCCUUCAGGUGGUUUCUGAAUGGGGCAUCCUAAAUGAACUGGCAAAUCCACUGUGAUUAUACUGCAUAUUAUAUGUGUCAUAGAAGGAAACACUAUUAGACUAUCAAAAUAAUACAAUUCCAUGCAAUUCCUACAACAAAUGUAACCUGAUCAGAGGGGUACUAAAGGCAAAAAGUGCUAAUUAUCAGUAGAGGCAUAGUAAAAAAGGUAUAACACUUUCGUCUGUCCUAGGGACUUCAGGAUAGUCAUUUGUCAUUCAACACUUCUUUAAUUGCUUGUGUUAUUAAAUGACAGUGCCUGUACUGAUACUUUAGUCUGGUGAAAUGCUUUAUUAAUUUCUGCUUUUAAAUCAAAAUAAAAAGGAAGACAGGUGUCAACGGUUUACGGGCUGGUUUGGCCUGGUUCUGUGACGAAUGGGGUAGGGGAC
This is a long non-coding RNA of Numida meleagris (helmeted guineafowl), 1725 nucleotides long. RefSeq lists it as uncharacterized. The record is from RefSeq and is a predicted model, not a curated record. NCBI's taxonomy places the organism in Eukaryota, Metazoa, Chordata, Aves, Galliformes, Numididae. The transcript is spliced from 3 exons.